Long non-coding RNA from Uloborus diversus, 451 nucleotides. RefSeq lists it as uncharacterized. NCBI's taxonomy places the organism in Eukaryota, Metazoa, Arthropoda, Arachnida, Araneae, Uloboridae. The record is from RefSeq and is a predicted model, not a curated record. The transcript is spliced from 2 exons.
UUACUGAAUAUAUUUUCCGCUACUACAACGGGUUUUCGGACGAAGAAAUUGAAUUAGAAUUUGACAUUUUUGCCGCAAACAGGCGCAAGAAACCUGUCAAAAAGACCAAAUGGCCAAAAAAAGCUAAAAGCGUUUCCAAACGCUUCCCCCUCCAACCCUGGGUGGAUCAAAACGGAGUGUGGGAACUUCCAGCUCCUAAACACAAAAAGGGGAUCCUAAAAAAGAUCUUCGGAUUCCUUAAGUGACCUAUCUGGAUGUCACUAGUGGAUGCGACCCACUUUAAAAAGCGUGCGAAUCUUUAUUGACUUAAGAAUUUGGAACCAGAUUACCUCUUUCGUUUUCACUGCUGCAAGUAAACUUUUGGCCAAAAUAUCAAAAUCUUUUGCAGCAUCUAAAUUUGCUGGUUCCUAGUCUUAAAAAGAAAUAGCAACAACUCUCAAAGAUAACAAAA